GACGAACGCUGGCGGCGUGCUUAACACAUGCAAGUCGAGCGAGGUCCAACCGGUGGCAACACCGGGGAAGACCUAGCGGCGAACGGGUGAGUAACACGUGGGUGACCUGCCCUCAGCUCUGGGAUAAGCCCGGGAAACUGGGUCUAAUACCGGAUAUGACUCCAUGACGCAUGUUGUGGGGUGGAAAGCCUUGUGCGGCUGAGGAUGGGCCCGCGGCCUAUCAGCUUGUUGGUGGGGUGAUGGCCUACCAAGGCGACGACGGGUAGCCGGCCUGAGAGGGCGACCGGCCACACUGGGACUGAGACACGGCCCAGACUCCUACGGGAGGCAGCAGUGGGGAAUCUUGCGCAAUGGGCGAAAGCCUGACGCAGCGACGCCGCGUGAGGGAUGACGGCCUUCGGGUUGUAAACCGUCUUUCUAGCUCCGACGAAGCGAGAGUGACGGUAGGAGCAGAAGAAG
RNAcentral lists this ribosomal RNA (459 nucleotides) under uncultured bacterium. Its description in RNAcentral is "bacterial SSU rRNA". It matches the Rfam family "Bacterial small subunit ribosomal RNA", at positions 28 to 490 of the family's 1533-position model. The record is from RNAcentral.